RNAcentral lists this long non-coding RNA (1154 nucleotides) under Lonchura striata (white-rumped munia). Its description in RNAcentral is "domestica (Bengalese finch) lncRNA (ENSLSDG00000006435.1)". Lineage: Eukaryota; Metazoa; Chordata; Aves; Passeriformes; Estrildidae. The record is from RNAcentral.
CCGGAGCGCCGGCAGCCGCCCGCGCCUCCCUCCCCGCUCCCCGUCCCGCCUCCCCGUCUCCUCCCGCGGGCGAACGCGCGGGGCCGCGGGGAAGGCGGCAGAGGAGCGGUGGGAGCCUACAGCGGGUCUGAGGCGAGGGGAAAAGGGAAACAGGACGCAGCAACAAAGAGCGGAAUGCUCGGGAUCUGACAUGGACGUAGGACGCAACUGCACCUUGUGCAGCUGCCCGGCAGAGGUAAUCCUCUGUUUACAGUCUGUGGCUGAUGCAUCAGCGGGCUGGUGGCAUCCCCAAAGAACGCUGAAAGCAGCAGAGACUCAGCAAUGGCAAAUGGGAAGAAAUUACAAAGCUAUACCAAGAGAAACUGGAGCUUAGCAGCCACUCUCGACCCUGAACAACACCUUACUGAAGAGGAUCUCCCAGCCCUGACAAGAAGACAGAUAACAAAUUCAGAAGCCAAAGCUGAGUUCACCCACCUUACUGCAGCUGUUCUCCACUCAAGCCCUUUCCUCCCAUACUUUUACCCAGACAAAACUCUGCUUUCUCAGCUCUCCAAUAUGAGUCUUCACGCAGCCAGGCAUAGCAGUGAGAGGCAAGGACAAAGUCUGGUGUGCAAGGGGGUGUACAGCUAUGUAACUCUUGAGUCUGUUCUUUAAAUCAUCUUUCCUCUUGUUCCAGUCACAGCAACAUUCCAGCACCUACAGCAAAAGACACAGGGUCUGGCCUCCAGGGAACAGACUCAUUCCACAGUUCUGAUUCCUUCCUUAAUUGACCCUGGACACCUAAAAAUGAAUGGCUUCAUCCUAAAAAAAGCUAAUGUGUCAGCAUGCAAGUAAAAUGUAUAUUUACACUAAGGCCAAAUUAAUGUCAUUUUGGGACCUGAAUUUAGGUCCCAAACAGAACAUUUCAGUGCCUGACUCUGCAACAGGAAUUCUCUUUAAUACAUAUCUGUAUAUAAAUUCUGGAAUGGGGCUGGGGGUGGGGGAAAAUGUCUCUAAAACAAAUGGCUUCCCACCCCCAACAUGAGUCCCUGAAUACAUUAUUAUCAGAGGACUCACUGAGAGAUCUGAAGACCUAAUAUACAGGCUUUGGCCUCACAAGCUGAGAAGGAAACUUUUCAAGGGACAAUAAAACACUCCCUUUACUGUGAUUGUCA